Molecule: ribosomal RNA, 497 nt
Filed under: uncultured bacterium
Lineage: Bacteria
Description: partial 16S ribosomal RNA
Rfam family: Bacterial small subunit ribosomal RNA
Source: RNAcentral
GAUGAACGCUGGCGGCGUGCCUAAUACAUGCAAGUCGAGCGAAAAGACGCGGAGCUUGUUGCUCUGUCGUGUGCGGCGGGGGGGAGUAAAACAUGUGUAAACCCCCCCUAUAUUACUGGUAUAACUACGAGAAAGCGGCGAUAACCCCGGAGAAUCUCUUGAACCGCAUGGGUCAAUAGUGAAAGUCGGCUGUGCUGUCUGUGAUAGCUGGUUCUGCGCCGGUUUGGCUAGUUGGGAAGUUAAAGGCUUUUCACGGGGACGAUGCGUAACCGACCUGAGAGAGUGAUAGGCCACACUGGAACUGAGACACGGUCCAGACGCCUACGGGAGGCAGCAGUAGGGAAUCUUCCGCAAUGGGCGAAAGCCUUACGGAGCAACGCCGCGUGAGUGAUGAAGGUCUUCGGAUCGUAAAACUCUGUUAUUAGGGAAGAACAAAUGUGUAAGUAACUGUGCACGGCUUGACGGUACCUAGUCAGAAAGCCACGGCUAACUACGUG